GGGUCUUAGAUCUGUUUCGCCGACAUGGGGCUAGCUGUUGGCGGUGGAUGGUGGAGAUGAUGACGCGACAGUUGAAAGGGUGGCUUCGCCAGUGGAUGGCAGUAGAGGUGAGAUCGGCGACCAUGGCUGGUGCAGCGGCGGCGCUGGCAAGGAGAGGACGAUGGAGGAAGCGCUAACGGAGAAGAGGGACAACCGGUGAUGGAAAAGGCAGCAUUGAUGAUUUUGUCGUAGGGUUUUUGAGAGAAGAAGGAAAUAGAAAGAGAAAGAGGAGAGAUGAGAGAAGGG
This 285-nucleotide long non-coding RNA is filed under the name Capsicum annuum. RNAcentral describes it as "long non-coding RNA (CANN_LNC008504)". Lineage: Eukaryota; Viridiplantae; Streptophyta; Magnoliopsida; Solanales; Solanaceae. The record is from RNAcentral.